Molecule: long non-coding RNA, 768 nt
Organism: Haliotis rufescens (red abalone)
Lineage: Eukaryota; Metazoa; Mollusca; Gastropoda; Lepetellida; Haliotidae
Exons: 3
Source: RefSeq, a predicted model, not a curated record
GGGCAGCAGUUGGGAUCUGUGACAAGGGGGGCUGAGAAAAUUCGAUAAAGCUCCGGACUAAUUUUCUCGGACGUGAAGCCCAUGAGAGAUGCACGCGCUGCACUUUGGUCAUCAGCAUAAUGUAUUCAUCCGCGAUGACGGAGCGCCACUUGCGCAAGUGACAAAGGAUUGGGUGGGCACUGUCAACCGAAGGAAGAAGCAAGGAACUUAUUUCACGUUGUCGGCAUUUGAGGAGUAAAUCUUAUCUCGAUCUCACCACAAUGACCCUUCUUGUGACAGUAUUUCUGCUUCUAUGCCUGGAGGUGUUUCUCGUCCUCUGUCAGAACAGCACAAAUGAGACGACUACUAACGGUUCUGACGGCCCCACUGAUGGCGCUCACAGUGUCGUAUUUACAGGAGUUGUCAUAGUAACGGCGACAAUACUUGCUCGCAUCGUCAAUUAAGAGUGCUUACAAGGGGCCUGUUGUGGAAGAAUGCGGCUGCCAUCUUGCUGUUCCAUCCACUGCCACUCCCCUGCCAUCCGGGUCCUACUUGCUCUUCUAGUGACCACUGACAUUCUUGCUUCUCUCAUUUCGGUAUAAAAAUUGAAACAUAACUCAUUUCCAUAUUUGGUAGUCGUUCAAUGUAAGAAAACUAUCUGUAGCCAAUCAUUCAUCAGUAUGCAAAUUGCGUCUCCUUUGUACAAGUAAUGUGAUGUGUUUCAGUUUUAUUUGUAUGUAUACAUUUGCCGCAUCCCAUAAUUAUCUGGAAUAAAACAUUCUAUUUGUA